RNAcentral lists this long non-coding RNA (610 nucleotides) under Equus caballus (horse). Its description in RNAcentral is "lncRNA (ENSECAG00000045289.1)". The record is from RNAcentral. Lineage: Eukaryota; Metazoa; Chordata; Mammalia; Perissodactyla; Equidae.
CUUUUUCCCACACGGUGUGCUGUGUUAGCCGUUGUUCGUGACUAUAUUUCUAGACCUAUUGAUCACAUCUUUGCUUAAAGAGCACAGAUAAACAAAAUUCCUGGCGGGGAGUGCCUGGCCUCUAGUACUUAGGAAGCCAGAUUUUCAUAGAAUGCACACUCAUAAAGACUGUAAACAUUACUGUGCUAAUCUGGCGGAUAGUUCCUCAAUUCUUCCAGCCCCACUGCUCCUAGUUACCUUAAAUAUCAAGGAUGAACACCUUCUGCUGAGCAGGAGCCCCCCAUUCAAACGCAUCUACUUAAGAGCAGAAUCAAGACAAUCAAGUUUCCAGGAGAAUCAACCUGACAAAGCCCAGUACCAAGGCUAUAUGUUCCUUGUACCAAGAACCACCCAACCAGCACCUGCUGCUUUCCUGAGUCACUUGUCUGGUAAAUGGCUGCUCUGGAACCACCACCCAAGUGGGUCUCAGAGCAGUCAUCUGUUUCCUGGGGCAAUCAGUAGAUCUUUUGGACAACUCUGGGCUGCAGCCAACCAUCGAUGCCUGUUUCGCAGAAUCUCAGAACUGUAUGGCUGAAAGACUUCCUACAAUGUCAUCCACCUCCUACACGAG